GCUGGGCAUGGUGGCAUGUGCCUGUAAUCCCAGAUACUCAGGAGGCUGAGAUGGGAGGAUUGCUUGAGCCCAGGAGUUCUGGGCUGUAGUAUGCUAUGCCGAUCGGGUGUCCUCACUAAGUUCGGCAUCAAUAUGGUGACCUCCCGGGAGCAGGGGACCACCAGGUUGCCUGAGGAGGGGUGAAUCGGCCCAGGUUGGAAAUGGAGCAGGUCAAAACUCCCGUGCUGAUCAGUAAUGGGAUUGUGCCUGUGAAUAGCCACUGCACUCCAGCCUGGGCAACAUAGUGAGACCCAUCUCUU
Molecule: unclassified non-coding RNA, 299 nt
Organism: Callithrix jacchus (white-tufted-ear marmoset)
Lineage: Eukaryota; Metazoa; Chordata; Mammalia; Primates; Cebidae
Rfam family: Metazoan signal recognition particle RNA
About the family: The signal recognition particle (SRP) is a universally conserved ribonucleoprotein.
Source: Ensembl